Molecule: ribosomal RNA, 459 nt
Filed under: Streptococcus sp. oral taxon 064
Lineage: Bacteria; Bacillati; Bacillota; Bacilli; Lactobacillales; Streptococcaceae
Description: bacterial SSU rRNA
Rfam family: Bacterial small subunit ribosomal RNA
Source: RNAcentral
GACGAACGCUGGCGGCGUGCCUAAUACAUGCAAGUAGAACGCUGAAGGAGGAGCUUGCUCUUCUGGAUGAGUUGCGAACGGGUGAGUAACGCGUAGGUAACCUGCCUGGUAGCGGGGGAUAACUAUUGGAAACGAUAGCUAAUACCGCAUAAUAGUAGAUGUUGCAUGACAUUUGCUUAAAAGGUGCAAUUGCAUCACUACCAGAUGGACCUGCGUUGUAUUAGCUAGUUGGUGAGGUAACGGCUCACCAAGGCAACGAUACAUAGCCGACCUGAGAGGGUGAUCGGCCACACUGGGACUGAGACACGGCCCAGACUCCUACGGGAGGCAGCAGUAGGGAAUCUUCGGCAAUGGACGGAAGUCUGACCGAGCAACGCCGCGUGAGUGAAGAAGGUUUUCGGAUCGUAAAGCUCUGUUGUAAGAGAAGAACGAGUGUGAGAAGUGGAAAGUUCACAACUG